This 257-nucleotide ribosomal RNA is filed under the name uncultured bacterium. Its description in RNAcentral is "partial 16S ribosomal RNA". It matches the Rfam family "Bacterial small subunit ribosomal RNA", at positions 524 to 777 of the family's 1533-position model. The record is from RNAcentral.
CACGUAGGGCGCAAGCGUUGUCCGGAAUUAUUGGGCGUAAAGAGCUCGUAGGCGGUCUGUUGCGUCCGCUGUGAAAACUCGGGGCUUAACCCCGAGCCUGCAGUGGAUACGGGCAGACUAGAGGUAGGUAGGGGAGAAUGGAAUUCCCGGUGUAGCGGUGAAAAUGCGCAGAUAUCGGGAGGAACACCGGUGGCGAAGGCGGUUCUCUGGGCCUUACCUGACGCUGAGGAGCGAAAACGUGGGGUAGCAAAACAGGG